UUUAAUUCUCAAUUCAAUUCAGUUUUAUUUAUAUAGCACCAAAUCACAACAACAGCCACCUCAAGGUGCUUUAUAUUGUAAGGUAGACGCUACAAUAAUACACACAGAGAAAACCCAACAAUCAUAUGACCCCCUAUGAGCAGCACUUUGGCGACAGUGGGAAGGAAAAACUCCCUUUUAACAGGAAGAAACCUCCGGCAGAACCAUGCUCAGGGAGGGGCGGGGCCAUCUGCUGUGAUUGGUUGGGGUGAGAGAAGGAAGACAGGAUAAAGACAUGCUGUGGAAGAGAGACAGAGGUUAAUAACAGAUAUGAUUCAGUGCAGAGAGGUCUGUUAACACGUGUUCAGUGAGAAAGCUGACUGGACAUGUUUAAUCCCAAGACUCAGUUUCAAUGAGCAUUAAUGGAAUUAAAGGUCUUGAAGGUCCCCUCCUGCCUAUCACAGUAACUGGUUUGAUUUAGUGUGAACACUGUUCUCAUAGAUUGGCACAUCACUUCUGAGUCACACCCUACAAAGCAGGAUUUCAGUUGUGGUCAGACAUUUCUGUCCAACCAUCGGCAUGAAGGUCAGAGUCAUUCUGGGCCUUUAAUGAAUUUUUUUUCACGUCAUGCUGAAGGUUCUACAGUAUCUUUGACCGUGAUUGACUAACAUUGGUAGUUUCUCUUUGCAGCAUAAAAAUGGCAGCACUCGUUGGACUGAUGAAUACUCAGAACAGUUUAAAAGUCCAAGUAACUCAGUGGAGAUCAGAACUGUCGAAGUGUGGAAGCUCUCUUGGAGCCAUUUCUAAACAACUGCAGAUCCCAAAAUCAAACAAUUCACAUUUGUGAAACAAACAAUUUUACGUAAGAACAAUAUGUAUGUAUUCUAGUGUGUCAUCCAAGUAACUUGGCUCUUCUUCUAGAACUUGCCAAACUGUCUUUUGGUAAAGUUUUGUACAGUCAGAUAAAACUACUGUACCAAGCAUGGUGGUGGAAGCAUCGUGUUCGGGGGCUGUUUUGGUACUGGUGACACUGGCAGAAGAAGAAGAAGGACCACCUCCAAAUUCUUUAACUUCACCUCAAAUCAAUGGCUAGAUGGAGAACAGCCAAGCCAACUUUAUUUAUAAAGCACGUUAAAAACAGUGAGCAUUCACAUGGAGUAGUCAUUUUUCUUUUUUUAUACUUAUACUUAAGUACUUAUACUAAGCCCUUUAAGACUGUACCUAAACAGUGACAAUAAACCAACUAAUUAAAAUCAAUUCUAAAAAUCAAAUAUCCACCAAGAAAAUGCCAGAAACUUGUUGAUGGAAACCAAAACUGUCUGAUCGAGGUGUAAUUUAACCAAAUGUUGGUAUAUUUGAGCCUCUAUGUUACCUUUGAACCUGUGUUGUUCCUGUAGACCCUGUAGAAAAAUUUAAACUUGUGCACCUAUUUCGUGUUUUUUUUAAAGUCAUUAAACUUCUGACCAUAACUGUAUGUCACUAACCGUCGUCUACACAUUAUUGUAACAGCUGUGGAGAGAACAGUGAUCUUUUAUUUCAGGAAUUUUGACCAAUUUGAAGUUUUGAUUUUGAACCGAAGAAGCGUUCGG
Molecule: long non-coding RNA, 1568 nt
Organism: Astatotilapia calliptera (eastern happy)
Lineage: Eukaryota; Metazoa; Chordata; Actinopteri; Cichliformes; Cichlidae
Source: Ensembl